RNAcentral lists this long non-coding RNA (4448 nucleotides) under Salmo salar (Atlantic salmon). RNAcentral describes it as "lncRNA (ENSSSAG00000099507.1, ENSSSAG00000108802.1)". The stretch from base 3434 to 3487 matches the Rfam family "UnaL2 LINE 3' element". The record is from RNAcentral. Lineage: Eukaryota; Metazoa; Chordata; Actinopteri; Salmoniformes; Salmonidae.
UUACAAUGGCCCACGCAACAGGCGUCAACAUUGCGUGGAGUACAGAGUACAGUGUUGAUCAUCAAUCAAGCAACAAAGCCCUUUUUACAUCAGCAGGAAUUACUUUUACAGUAGCCUAAUCCCAGUACUCCAAAUAGCAAGCAGAAGCACAGUGGCCAGGAACAAUUCAGACCUGAGCCCUAGGACCAUGCCUCAGGGCUACCUGGCCUGAUGACUCCUUGCUGUCCCCAGUCCACCUGGCCGUGCUGCUGCUCCAGUUUAUUAUUAUUUGACCCUGCUGGUCAUCUAUGAACAUUUGAAAAUCUUGGCCAUGUUCUGUUAUAAUCUCCACCCGGCACAGCCAGAAGAGGACUGGCCACCCCUCAUAGCCUGGUUCCUCUCUAGGUUUCUUCCUAGGUUUUGGCCUUUCUAGGGAGUUUUUCCUAGCCACCGUGCUUCUACACCUGCAUUGCUUGCUGUUUGGGGUUUUAGGCUGGGUUUCUGUACAGCACUUUGAGAUAUCAGCUGAUGCCUGCUUGCCCAGCGCCCAUGUCUCGGCCGACUCACCCAGGUGGGACGCCUGGUGGCACCCCUAGAGGGGGUACUGUCAUGCCCGUUCCCACUCUUCCUCCCCCUUGAGGGUGCCAGUCUCUCCAGGAUUACGCAAUCAAGCCACCAUUAGUACGCACACCUGCCUUUCCCAGUCACGCGCAUCUGCGCUCAUUGGACUCAGCUGAACUCUAUUACUUGUGUUUUUGCCUUCCCUUUAAAUGUCUGUUCCCAAACUCUGUUCCCUGCUUCAGGAUUUAUGUUUGUCAUAUGUCCUUGUUUACCCGUGUGCUAACGCUGUUCCUGUCGUGUUCUAUGUCCGUCACUGAUUAAAUGUUUGACUCCCCGUACCUGCUUCUUCUGUCCGGCGUCACUCCUUACAACAUCUAUAUCUGUUCUUUAUCUCUAUGUGUUUUAUAUCUGUUCUAUAUCUAUAUCUGUUCUAUAUCUUUUCUAUAUCUCUAUCUGUUUUAUAUCUCUAUCUGUUCUAUAUCUGUUCUAAAUCAAUAUCUGUUCUGUAUCUAUAUCUGUUCUAUAUCUGUUUUUUUUUUUUAUCUCUGUCUGUUCUUUAUCUAUCUGUUUUAUAUCUGUUCUAUGUCUAUAUCUGUUCUAUAUCUCUAUCAGUUCUAUAUCUGUUCUAAAUCUGUCUGUUCUAUAUCUAUAUCUGUUCUAUAUCUGUUCUUUCUCUAUCGGUUCUAUAUCUGUUCAAUAUCUCUAUCUGUUCAAUAUCUCUAUCUGUUCAAUAUCUCUAUCUGUUCAAUAUCUCUAUCUGUUCUAUAUCUCUCUGUUCUAUAUCUCUAUCAGUUCAAUAUCUCUAUCAGUUCUAUAUCUCUAUCUGUUUUAUCUCUCUGUUCUAUAUCUAUAAAUGUUCUUUAUCUCUAUCUGUUUUAUAUCUGUUAUAAAUCUAUAUAUGUUAUAUAUUUCUAUCAGUUCUACAUCUCUAUCUGUUCUUUCUCUAUCGGUUCUAUAUCUGUUCAAUAUCUCUAUCUGUUCAAUAUCUCUAUCUGUUCAAUAUCUCUAUCUGUUCAAUAUCUCUAUCUGUUCUAUAUCUCUCUGUUCUAUAUCUCUAUCAGUUCAAUAUCUCUAUCAGUUCAAUAUCUCUAUCUGUUCGCUAUCUCUCUGUUCUAUAUCUAUAAAUGUUCUUUAUCUCUAUCUGUUUUAUAUCUGUUAUAAAUCUAUAUAUGUUAUAUAUUUCUAUCAGUUCUACAUCUCUGUCUGUUCUAUAUCUCUAUCUGUUCUAUUUCUGUAUCUGUUCUGUAUCUCUAUCUAAUCAACAUCCUACCUGUGUUUUAUCGCUAUCUGUUCUAUCUCUAUAUCUGUUAUACAUCUAUAAAUGUUCUAUAUCUCUAUCUGUUCUAUAUCUAUAUAUGUUCUUUAUCUCUAUCUGUUUUAUAUCUGUUAUAAAUCUAUAUCUGUUAUAUAUCUCUAUCAGUUCUAUAUCUCUGUCUGUUCUAUAUCUCUAUCUGUUCUAUUUCUGUAUCUGUUCUAUCUGUUUUAUAUCUGUUCUAUAUCUAUUUCUGUUCUAUAUCUCUAUCUGUUCUAUAUCUAUUUCUGUUCUAUAUCUCUAUCUGUUCUAUAUCUGUUCUAUAUCUCUGUCUGUUCUCUGUCUCUAUCUGUUUUAUAUCUCUAUCUAUUCUAUAUCCUACCUGUGUAUAUCUCUAUCUGUUCUAUAUCUAUAUCUGUUCUAUAUCUCUAUCUAAUCUAUAUCCUACCUGUGUAUUUCUCUAUCUGUUCUAUAUCUCUAUCAGUUCUAUAUCCUACCUGUGUAUAUCUCUAUCUGUUCUAUAUCUAUAUAUGUUCUAUAUCUCUAUUUAAUCAAUAUACUACCUGGGUUUUAUCACUAGCUGUUCUAUAUCUCUAUCUAAUCUAUAUCCUACCUGUGUAUAUCUCUAUCUGUUCUAUAUCCCACCUGUGUAUAUCUCUAUCUGUUCUAUCUCUAUCUAAUCUAUAUCCCACCUGUGUAUAUCUCUAUCUGUUCUAUAUCUCUAUCUAAUUUACAUCCUACCUGUGUAUUUCUCUAUCUGUUCUAUAUCUCUAUCUAAUCCAUAUGCUACCUGUGUAUAUCUCUAUCUGUUCUAUAUCUCUAUCUGUUCUAUAUCUAUAUCUGUUCUAUAUCUCUAUUUAAUCAAAUACUACCUGUGUUUUAUCGCUAUCUGUUCUAUAUCUCUAUCUAAUCUAUAUCCUACCUGUGUAUAUCUCUAUCUGUUCUAAUCCUACCUGUGUAUAUCUCUAUCAGUGCUAUAUCUAUAUCUGUUCUAUAUCUCUAUCUAUUUUAUAUCCCACCUGUGUAUAUCUCUAUCUGUUCUAAUCCUACCUGUGUAUAUAUCUAUCUGUUCUAUAUCUCUAUCCGUUCUAAUCCUACCUGUGUUUAUAUCUAUCUGUUCUAUAUCCUACCUGUGUAUAUCUCUAUCCGUUCUAAUCCUACCUGUGUAUAUCUCUAUCAGUGCUAUAUCUAUAUCUGUUCUAUAUCUCUAUCUAUUUUAUAUCCCACCUGUGUAUAUCUCUAUCCGUUCUAAUCCUACCUGUGUAUAUAUCUAUCUGUUCUAUAUCUCUAUCUGUUCUAUAUCCUACCUGUGUAAAUCUAUCUGUUCUAUGUGGUUGUUGUGAUCUAUGCCAUGUUUUCUGUAAAUGUUGAUGGUUUUAUGUCUUUGACAUAGUGCUCUUGAAUGCUGGACACAUUUCCUGUAAAAGGCCUAAUAAAUGAACUGAACUGAUUAUGGGGCAUGAUCACUGAGCCAACCAUCUGUAGUAGGCUGAGAUACCUCUCAAUUGGCUUUGCAACAUUAAACAAGGCACAAAGAGACUUGUAGCUGUUGUGGUCCAUUUUAGCUAAAUUGGUAGAGCAUAGCGCUUGUAACGCCAGGGUAGUGGAUUUGAUUCCCGGGACCACCCAUAUAUAAUAUGUAUGCAGUAUGACUGUAAGUCUCUUUGGAUAAAAGCGUCUGCUAAAUGACAUAUUAUUAUAUUAUACAGUGCCUUCAGAACGUAUUCACACCCCUUGACUUUUUCAAAAUGUUGUGUUACACGGUGGGAUUAAAAUGGAUUGAAUGUCAUUUUUUGUCAACGAUCUACACAAAACACUCUGUAAUGUCAUAGUGGAAGAACAAUGGACAUUUGUUAAAAAUGUAUAAAAAUAAACAACACUAAUAUUCCGUUUUUCUGGGUAAGUCGCUAAAAGAUUUGCACAUUAUUCUUUAGCUUUUCAAGCUGAUUUAAGUCAAAACUGUAACUAGACCACUCAGGAACAUUCAAUGUCAUCUCCAGUGUUGUCACGUCCUGACCAGUAAUAGGGGUUAUUUGUUAUUGUAGUGUGGUCAGGACGUGGCAGGGGUAUUUGUUUUAUGUGGUUCGGGCUGGUGGUGUUAGUAGUAGGGUGUUUGAUUUAUUAUUCUGGGUUUUGGGCACUGUUCUCUGUUAAUGUAUUUCUAUGUUCAGUCUAGUCAUUUGUAUUUCUAUGUUUAGUUAAUUGGGGGUUGGACUCUCAAUUGGAGGCAGGUCUUUUCUCGUUGCCUCUGAUUGAGGGUCCUAUAAAUAGGUAUGUGUUUGUUAGUAUUUUGUGGGAGAUUGUUCUUGUUUAGCUGUGUGUGUGUGUGUGUGUGUGUGUGUGUGUGUGUGUGUGUGUGUGUGUGUGUGUGUGUGUGUGUGUGUGUGUGUGUGUGUGUGUGUCUGACAAGACUGUUAUCGUUGUGUUUUUUGUAUACGUGUGUUUAUUUUGGUUUUCCUUCUUUGUCCGUUAAUAAAAGAAGAUGAGUGUACAUUUUCCCGCUGCGUCUUGGUCUCAACCCUACGACAACCGUGACAAGUGUAGAUUUGGCCUUGUGUUUUAGGUUAUUGUCCUGCUGAAAGGUGAAUUUGUAUCCCAGUGUCUGUAGGAAAAUAAACUGAACCAGAUUUUUCUCUAGGAUUUUUGUCUGUGCUUA